RNAcentral lists this ribosomal RNA (519 nucleotides) under uncultured bacterium. RNAcentral's name for it is "partial 16S ribosomal RNA". It matches the Rfam family "Bacterial small subunit ribosomal RNA", at positions 355 to 864 of the family's 1533-position model. The record is from RNAcentral.
UGGGGAAUUUUGGACAAUGGGCGAAAGCCUGAUCCAGCAAUGCCGCGUGUGUGAAGAAGGCCUUCGGGUUGUAAAGCACUUUCAGCGAGGAGGAAGGUGGUGAGCUUAAUACGCUCAUCAAUUGACGUUACUCGCAGAAGAAGCACCGGCUAACUCCGUGCCAGCAGCCGCGGUAAUACGGAGGGUGCAAGCGUUAAUCGGAAUUACUGGGCGUAAAGCGCACGCAGGCGGUUUGUUAAGUCAGAUGUGAAAUCCCGGGCUCAACCUGGGAACUGCAUUUGAAACUGGCAAGCUAGAGUCUCGUAGAGGGGGGUAGAAUUCCAGGUGUAGCGGUGAAAUGCGUAGAGAUCUGGAGGAAUACCGGUGGCGAAGGCGGCCCCCUGGACGAAGACUGACGCUCAGGUGCGAAAGCGUGGGGCAGCAAACAGGAUUAGAUACCCUGGUAGUCCACGCUGUAAAACGAUGUCGAUUUGGAGGUUGUGCCCCUUGAGGCGUGGCUUCCGGAGCUAACGCGUUAAA